GACGAACGCUGGCGGCGCGCUUAACACAUGCAAGUCGAACGGAAAGGCCUGCUUUCCCUUGUGGAUUGCGGGUACUCGAGUGGCGAACGGGUGAGUAACACGUGAGUGAUCUGCCCCCAACUUGGGUAUAAGCCUGGGAAACUGGGUCUAAUUCCCGAUAGGACUGCAGGGUGGUGCCUGUGGUGGCAAACGAUUUUCUAGUGGUUGGGGAUGAGCUCGCGGCCUAUCAGCUUGUUGGUGGGGUAAUGGUCUACCAAGGCGGGGACGGGUAGCCGGCCUGGGGGGGUGGACGGCCACAGUGGGACGGAGAUACGGCCAAGACGCCUACGGGAGGCAGCAGUGGGGAAGAUUGCGCGAUGGGCGGAAGCCUGAUGGAGCGACGCCGCGUGGGGGAUGACGGCCUUCGGGUGGUAAACUCCUUUCGACCGCGAGGAAGCCACCUGGAUGGAAGGGUGGUGACGGUAGUGGUAGAAGAAGCACCGGCUAACUACGUG
This 494-nucleotide ribosomal RNA is filed under the name uncultured bacterium. Its description in RNAcentral is "partial 16S ribosomal RNA". It matches the Rfam family "Bacterial small subunit ribosomal RNA", at positions 28 to 507 of the family's 1533-position model. The record is from RNAcentral.